AAAAUGAGAGUUUGAUCCUGGCUCAGGACGAACGCUGGCGGCGUGCCUAAUACAUGCAAGUCGAGCGAGCAUAACCAGCAGAUUUACUUCGGUAAU
This 96-nucleotide ribosomal RNA is filed under the name Lactobacillus helveticus MTCC 5463. RNAcentral describes it as "partial 16S ribosomal RNA". The record is from RNAcentral. Lineage: Bacteria; Bacillati; Bacillota; Bacilli; Lactobacillales; Lactobacillaceae.